UACGGAGGAUCCGAGCGUUAUCCGGAAUUAUUGGGUUUAAAGGGUUCGUAGGCGGCUUUGUAAGUCAGUGGUGAAAUUUCCUAGCUUAACUAGGACACUGCCAUUGAUACUGCAGAGCUUGAAUAAUAUGGAAGUAACUAGAAUAUGUAGUGUAGCGGUGAAAUGCUUAGAUAUUACAUGGAAUACCAAUUGCGAAGGCAGGUUACUACGUAUUUAUUGACGCUGAUGAACGAAAGCGUGGGGAGCGAACAGG
Molecule: ribosomal RNA, 253 nt
Filed under: uncultured bacterium
Lineage: Bacteria
Description: partial 16S ribosomal RNA
Rfam family: Bacterial small subunit ribosomal RNA
Source: RNAcentral